AUUGAACGCUGGCGGCAGGCCUAACACAUGCAAGUCGAGCGGAUGAAGGGAGGUUGCUCCUGGGUGCAGCGGCGGACGGGGGAGUGAUGCCUAGGAAUCUGCCUGGUGUUGUGGGGUAACGUCCGGAAACGGGCGCUAAUAUCGCAUACGUGCUGUGGGAGAAAGAGGGGGAGCUUCUGACGUCACGCUCUCAAAUGAUCCUAGGUGGGAUUAGCUAGUUGGUGGGGUAAAGGCCUACCAAGGCGACGAUCCGUAACUGGUCUGAGAGGAUGAGCAGUCACACUGGAACUGAGACACGGUCCAGACUCCUACGGGAGGCAGCAGUGGGGAAUAUUGGACAAUGGGCGAAAGCCUGAUCCAGCCAUGCCGCGUGUGUGAAGAAGGUCUUCGGAUUGUAAAGCACUUUAAGUUGGGAGGAAGGGCAGUAAGUUAAUACCUUGCUGUUUUGACGUUACCAACAGAAUAAGCACCGGCUAACUUCGUG
Molecule: ribosomal RNA, 484 nt
Filed under: uncultured bacterium
Lineage: Bacteria
Description: partial 16S ribosomal RNA
Rfam family: Bacterial small subunit ribosomal RNA
Source: RNAcentral